CACGGGGGGAGCAAGCGUUGUUCGGAAUCACUGGGCGUGAAGGGCGUGUAGGCGGUUGUGUAAGUGGGAUGUGAAAUGCCUCGGCUUACCCGGGGACCUGCAUCCCAUACUGCAUGACUUGAGUACGGGAGAGGAUGAGGGAAUUCCUGGUGUAGCGGUGAAAUGCGUAGAUAUCAGGAGGAACACCGGUGGCGAAGGCGCUCAUCUGGCCCGAUACUGACGCUGAGGCGCGAAAGCUAGGGUAGCGAACGGG
This 253-nucleotide ribosomal RNA is filed under the name uncultured bacterium. RNAcentral's name for it is "partial 16S ribosomal RNA". It matches the Rfam family "Bacterial small subunit ribosomal RNA", at positions 524 to 776 of the family's 1533-position model. The record is from RNAcentral.